This 406-nucleotide ribosomal RNA is filed under the name uncultured bacterium. Its description in RNAcentral is "partial 16S ribosomal RNA". It matches the Rfam family "Bacterial small subunit ribosomal RNA", at positions 30 to 526 of the family's 1533-position model. The record is from RNAcentral.
AUUGAACGCUGGCGGCAGGCCUAACACAUGCAAGUCGAACGAGUGGCGGACGGGUGCGUACUGUCUGGGAAACUGCCUGAUGGAGGGGGAUAACUACUGGAAACGGUAGCUAAUCCCGCAUACCAUCAGAUGUGCCCAGAUGGGAUGAGCUUGUUGGUGCGGUAACGGCUCAACAAGGCGACGAUCCCUCGCUGGUCUGCGAGGAUUACCAGCAACACUGUAACUUAGACACGGUCCAGACUCCGCCGGGAGGCAGCAGUGGGGAAGAGUGCACAAGGGGCGCAAGCCUGAUGCAGCCAUGCCGCGUGUAUGACGAAGGCCUUCGGGUUGUAAAGGACUUGCAGCGGGGAGGCGUUACCCGCAGAAGAAGCCCCGGCUAACUCCGUGCCAGCAGCCGCGGUAAUUC